UACGUAGGGUGCGAGCGUUGUCCGGAAUUAUUGGGCGUAAAGAGCUCGUAGGCGGUUCGUCGCGUCGGCUGUGAAAUCCCGAGGCUCAACCUCGGGUCUGCAGUCGAUACGGGCGGACUGGAGUUCGGCAGGGGAGACUGGAAUUCCUGGUGUAGCGGUGAAAUGCGCAGAUAUCAGGAGGAACACCUGCGGUGUAGACGGCUUACUGGACGGUAACUGACGCUGAGGCACGAAAGCGUGGGUAGCAAACAGG
Molecule: ribosomal RNA, 253 nt
Filed under: uncultured bacterium
Lineage: Bacteria
Description: partial 16S ribosomal RNA
Rfam family: Bacterial small subunit ribosomal RNA
Source: RNAcentral